CUAAAAGAUCGCGUUACUCAAGACUUUGUCGUAUGCCUGUUUAGGAUAGAUUGGACUGUGUGACUCUGUGUGGGAAGUGGAGCUUCAAAUGGAUAAGAAUGACGACAUGUGUGAAGCCAGGAAGAAGUGAAGAGACCAGUUGUCAGAUGCGAGCUCUAUCCUAUUUUAUUUUUACUUUUUCCAAAAAUACAUUCUCCUUAGUAAGCUGACAAAAUACUAUCUUAGAUUGUAGCUAUGGCGACAGAAUAAGUUUACAGCGGUGAUCGGCGACGGCUUCUGCUACCGGAGAAUCAGACGACUGAUUAAUCUGUUUGUGGGUCUUGCUAUUACUUUGCUGAUGAGGUCAUCGAUCGUGUUCCCCACUAGCUAGAGUCCUUAAAGGAGACAUCUAUUGACGUAGACGAGGACCUACCUAUCUAGAGCUUGCAAAGCUGAUAGUAUCGGAGAGCCCCUUGUUGGUUUGCGCAGGAGAAGAGUUUGCAGGAUUGAGAUGCUCAAAUAAAUUAGGAUUUCCAAAUCAUUGAAAGUAAUGCUGCAAAGGGCACUAGUAUUCACUCCAGAAGCUGCAUUGCCCUUACUGCUUCACUGGGAAGUGUGUUUUUUCCUGCAUUUUAGAAAUAAACCUUAGGAUGUUUCAGAAAAUGAGAUGUUUCAUUUUGGAGGCAUUUCCUCACUUGAAAUGCACUGUCCUUGAUCUUCCACAUGUUGCUGCUGACAUGCCAAAAAGUGAGAAUUUAAGCUAUGUAGGAGGGGCUAUGUUUCAAUCUAGUCCACAUGUUGUUGCUGAUGCCAUUUUGCUUAAGAACAUUUGUUCAAAUUAAUCAGAGUUCGAUGCAAUGUCACACUGUUAUGUUUUGCAGCAAGUAGUGCACAGUUGGAGAGAUGAGGAUUGUGUCAAGCUACUGAAGAAAUGCAGAGAAGCUAUUGCAUUGACAUGGUGUUAAGACACAAACGAAGAUGAACCAGACAUGACUGAAGUAAAGCUCAUGUUUGACAUGUUGAUGGCAAUGGUUUUCACCGCAAAAGAAAGAACGGAACAAGAACUAUUCCUUGAAGCUGGCUUUACUCGUUACACCAAUCUUUGGCCUUAGGUCACUUAUUGAGGUGAGGAAAUGCCUCCAAAAUGGUCUUAGCCUAUAGUCAAUCCCAACUAAUUUGGGAGUGAAAUGUAGUUGGUUAAUUUUUUUUUAUGUAUCCCUGCCCAUCUGCCCAGGAAGACGGGGGCAGAAACACAUUAGCAAAUGUAAUUUACUGAAAUGUUUUCUUACUUAACGAACAUCACAUUAGCAAACACAUUAGUCUGUUUUUGUUAGACUGCAAAAGAUUGUUAGCAGUUGAGUUACCAGUUGAUCGCAUUAUUUGAAUUUAGAAGAAAUCUAAUCUGUAUACUGUAAAGCCUUUGUAAAAAUACAUAGUAUAGAUUACAACA
Nicotiana tabacum (common tobacco) is the source of this 1429-nucleotide long non-coding RNA. RefSeq lists it as uncharacterized. The record is from RefSeq and is a predicted model, not a curated record. Lineage: Eukaryota; Viridiplantae; Streptophyta; Magnoliopsida; Solanales; Solanaceae.